RNAcentral lists this long non-coding RNA (1729 nucleotides) under Citrus sinensis (sweet orange). Its description in RNAcentral is "long non-coding RNA (CSIN_LNC005262)". The record is from RNAcentral. Lineage: Eukaryota; Viridiplantae; Streptophyta; Magnoliopsida; Sapindales; Rutaceae.
UGGUAAUGGCAAACUUGUUGUGCUUCCCAGAAGAAUCCAAAAAAACAUUUGCCUUGACAACAUUCAGCCCAAGGUUCUUAAGUGCGUUCAUCUGCAGUUCAUUUACUAACUCUCAAAGAUGUACACAUCUUUGCAAAACAAUAAAUAUUGACAAUGCAGAACCAGAACUUAAUCUGGAAGAUCAAAGAUUCACUAUAUAUAGCGCAAAUGCAGAGGAUAGACAAAAAUGAAAUCAGCAAGUAAAUGGCCUCAUACAGUAUCAAGAAGAGCUCCAAGGCGAUCGCCAAAGGUUAUCUCCACUAUGGUUGCAUCCGGGUCAGAAUCUAGGUCUAUUAUGACUUUGGGAGUCGGAAUUGUAUCAGUGUCACCAUUACUUCCAUCCUGUUUACAAUUCCAUAACCACGUCCAACAACCAAAAAGAGAACGGAAACAUUAACUGCUUAAAUUGUACAAACACUAAUCAAUAGAGAAAAAUCAAUUCAUACCUCCACAGCUGUAGCUGAGGAGGCUCGAGGAAUUAUUCUAGUUGCUGAAGAUGAGAAUCUGAAAAAAGUACACGAGGAAAUAUACAUCCAAAAAUCAAACAAAUAUUGACAUAAUUAUGUGACUACGAGAGAAACAUGGUUAGUCUAUACAAACAUUUUUAGCACGAAAACAGGAAAAUAAGCAAAGAUUACAGCCUUUAUCACAGUUAAGUACUUGUCAAAGAUAUGCUGCACUAUCAAACACACUGCUGUACGGCCAAGGCGGAUGUACGGUACAGCAGUUUUUCAUCCACUAGUGAGAAGAGCCAAAAGUAUCAAUAAUCUGAAAAAAAUCAAGAUAGGACCAGAAAGCAAAGACCUGUUGUUUUGGAGGAUCAACGCCAAAGGCAACACCCAUUGCUAACUGGGAACUUGAUUCCUGAUUCCAACACCAACACAAAUGGAAUAAGCUUUUCAAUAAGACAAUUCCUACAGGUGCUCCACCAAGUGAUAUCUCAAGAGAGACAAAAAAAUGAUUACCGGGUGAUACUGAAGUAGAUUGUUUAUAACUGUCAAACGAAUUGCCUCAAGCACCUCAGGAUCAUCAACUUUCCUACCAGUAUCACUGCACACAAGCAUCAUGACCAAAUUAAUCAAAGCCACAGUGGGAAUCUAUUGCAAGAACUGCUCCAAAAAACACCAAUGGCUCUUUGGAUCAUUGAUUCUAGGUUCUAGUAUGUCUAAAAUUUUAACGAUUUCAACAUUAGUUAUAAACGUCUAUUAGCAACAGACUGAUCAUACUUGUAUAUGGAGAAUCUAAAGUAGGUAUUUACUAUGCUCAUCAAAUAUAGACCAGAAGAUGUUGACAACAAUUAAAGGAUAUUAGUGAAUGAAACUGCAAGCAGAUAAUAUAAAUCAGCUCAGUAAUGCAAGGGCAUGAAAAGCAAAAUGCAUAUGCAUCACAAAACAUACGCUUUGGUAAUGGCAAACUUGUUGUGCUUCCCAGAAGAAUCCAAAAAAACAUUUGCCUUGACAACAUUCAGCCCAAGGUUCUUAAGUGCGUUCAUCUGCAGUUCAUUUACUAACUCUCAAAGAUGUACACAUCUUUGCAAAACAAUAAAUAUUGACAAUGCAGAACCAGAACUUAAUCUGGAAGAUCAAAGAUUCACUAUAUAUAGCGCAAAUGCAGAGGAUAGACAAAAAUGAAAUCAGCAAGUAAAUGGCCUCAUACAGUAUCAAGAAGAGCUCCAAGGCGAUCGCCAAAG